RNAcentral lists this ribosomal RNA (445 nucleotides) under uncultured bacterium. Its description in RNAcentral is "partial 16S ribosomal RNA". It matches the Rfam family "Bacterial small subunit ribosomal RNA", at positions 354 to 796 of the family's 1533-position model. The record is from RNAcentral.
GUGAGGAAUAUUGCGCAAUGGAGGCAACUCUGACGCAGCCAUGCCGCGUGCAGGAAGAAGGCGCUACGCGUUGUAAACUGCUUUUAACCGGGAAGAAACCCCAGGACGUGUCCUGGGUUGACGGUACCGGAGGAAUAAGCACCGGCUAACUUCGUGCCAGCAGCCGCGGUAAUACGAAGGGUGCAAGCGUUAUCCGGAUUCAUUGGGUUUAAAGGGUGCGUAGCCGGAGCGUUAAGUCAGUGGUGAAAUCCUGCAGCUUAACUGUAGACUUGCCAUUGAUACUGGCACUCUUGAGUGCGCUUGAAGUGGGCGGAAUGUGCCGUGUAGCGGUGAAAUGCUUAGAUAUGGCACAGAACACCAAUUGCGAAGGCAGCUCACUAAGGCGAUACUGACGCUGAGGCACGAAAGCGUGGGGAUCGAACAGGAUUAGAAACCCGAGUAGUCC